Molecule: non-coding RNA, 80 nt
Organism: Cydia amplana
Lineage: Eukaryota; Metazoa; Arthropoda; Insecta; Lepidoptera; Tortricidae
Source: the annotation of a RefSeq genome assembly
GUCUUGGUAGCUCAGAAGUCAGAUGGCAGAGCACUGUACUAGCGAUCCAGUGGUCGUGGGUUCAAGUCCCACCCAAGACA